RNAcentral lists this ribosomal RNA (1528 nucleotides) under Klebsiella aerogenes. RNAcentral's name for it is "bacterial SSU rRNA". It matches the Rfam family "Bacterial small subunit ribosomal RNA". RNAcentral also lists the same sequence under 1 other name. The record is from RNAcentral. Lineage: Bacteria; Pseudomonadati; Pseudomonadota; Gammaproteobacteria; Enterobacterales; Enterobacteriaceae.
AGAGUUUGAUCAUGGCUCAGAUUGAACGCUGGCGGCAGGCCUAACACAUGCAAGUCGAGCGGUAGCACAGAGAGCUUGCUCUCGGGUGACGAGCGGCGGACGGGUGAGUAAUGUCUGGGAAACUGCCUGAUGGAGGGGGAUAACUACUGGAAACGGUAGCUAAUACCGCAUAAUGUCGCAAGACCAAAGUGGGGGACCUUCGGGCCUCAUGCCAUCAGAUGUGCCCAGAUGGGAUUAGCUAGUAGGUGGGGUAACGGCUCACCUAGGCGACGAUCCCUAGCUGGUCUGAGAGGAUGACCAGCCACACUGGAACUGAGACACGGUCCAGACUCCUACGGGAGGCAGCAGUGGGGAAUAUUGCACAAUGGGCGCAAGCCUGAUGCAGCCAUGCCGCGUGUGUGAAGAAGGCCUUCGGGUUGUAAAGCACUUUCAGCGGGGAGGAAGGCGUUAAGGUUAAUAACCUUGGCGAUUGACGUUACCCGCAGAAGAAGCACCGGCUAACUCCGUGCCAGCAGCCGCGGUAAUACGGAGGGUGCAAGCGUUAAUCGGAAUUACUGGGCGUAAAGCGCACGCAGGCGGUCUGUCAAGUCGGAUGUGAAAUCCCCGGGCUUAACCUGGGAACUGCAUUCGAAACUGGCAGGCUAGAGUCUUGUAGAGGGGGGUAGAAUUCCAGGUGUAGCGGUGAAAUGCGUAGAGAUCUGGAGGAAUACCGGUGGCGAAGGCGGCCCCCUGGACAAAGACUGACGCUCAGGUGCGAAAGCGUGGGGAGCAAACAGGAUUAGAUACCCUGGUAGUCCACGCCGUAAACGAUGUCGAUUUGGAGGUUGUGCCCUUGAGGCGUGGCUUCCGGAGCUAACGCGUUAAAUCGACCGCCUGGGGAGUACGGCCGCAAGGUUAAAACUCAAAUGAAUUGACGGGGGCCCGCACAAGCGGUGGAGCAUGUGGUUUAAUUCGAUGCAACGCGAAGAACCUUACCUGGUCUUGACAUCCACAGAACUUUCCAGAGAUGGAUUGGUGCCUUCGGGAACUGUGAGACAGGUGCUGCAUGGCUGUCGUCAGCUCGUGUUGUGAAAUGUUGGGUUAAGUCCCGCAACGAGCGCAACCCUUAUCCUUUGUUGCCAGCGGUUCGGCCGGGAACUCAAAGGAGACUGCCAGUGAUAAACUGGAGGAAGGUGGGGAUGACGUCAAGUCAUCAUGGCCCUUACGACCAGGGCUACACACGUGCUACAAUGGCAUAUACAAAGAGAAGCGACCUCGCGAGAGCAAGCGGACCUCAUAAAGUAUGUCGUAGUCCGGAUUGGAGUCUGCAACUCGACUCCAUGAAGUCGGAAUCGCUAGUAAUCGUAGAUCAGAAUGCUACGGUGAAUACGUUCCCGGGCCUUGUACACACCGCCCGUCACACCAUGGGAGUGGGUUGCAAAAGAAGUAGGUAGCUUAACCUUCGGGAGGGCGCUUACCACUUUGUGAUUCAUGACUGGGGUGAAGUCGUAACAAGGUAACCGUAGGGGAACCUGCGGUUGGAUCACCU